This is a long non-coding RNA of Octopus sinensis (East Asian common octopus), 4181 nucleotides long. RefSeq lists it as uncharacterized. The transcript is spliced from 2 exons. The record is from RefSeq and is a predicted model, not a curated record. Lineage: Eukaryota; Metazoa; Mollusca; Cephalopoda; Octopoda; Octopodidae.
AUGCACAUACUUACAUAUGUACACAUGAUAUAUGUAUAGGUAUAAAUGUGUGUAUGUAUAUGUAAUUAUAUUUGUUUGUGUGAGUGUGUGACUAUGCAUAUGUAUGUAUAUAUAUAUGCAAAAAUACUGUAACAUCACCAUAGUUGACUGCACAUAUACAUGUGUCUGUCUGUCUAAUAAUAUGUGAUAUUUGGGUGGCUAUACAAUAUGUUCAUAUUCAUACUUACCGAAAAAAAAAAGAAAGAAAGACAAAAAAAAAUUGUUAUUCUAUACCAUUCUAUGAAACAACAGAGAAAAAACAAAAAUAAGAAAAAAAUAAUUUGGUUGGGAUUUUUUUCCAACAAAUGUAAAAUUCCCUACAAUUUUUGAAACAUCUCCUAGUUGUUACAGUUAAUGUUAUUGCUUCAAAGUAAUUUUAAAUUUUUAUCCUGCCUUAUGUUGUUGUUGUUGUUGCUCUUGCUUCUCAUUCCCCGCCGCUGCCACCACUACCACCACCACCACCGCCGCCUCCACCGCCAUCUCUUUCUCCCACCACCCCAAACUCACUCAUUCAUGCAUUCAUAACUCAUGGGAAAGAUCUAAACCUCAUAAGCCUUGACUGAAACUUUUCUUCCUCCACCAAUAGGAGACUGGUCGUUGUAAAGGGACUGAAUGACUAGGGCCUGUUGCUCUUUUAAGAAGAUUUUUAAAAAUGUAUUUCAAAAGCCCAGUUGCAUUGUGGAAGAACCAUUUAAAAACACACAGAAAUUGUUUAACUCUUUAGCAUUCAGGAUGCUCUGUCAAAUGUAAUGCUUAUUUAUUCACAUUGUUUUUAAUUAAUCAUGCAUUACCUCGAGGCUUUGUGAUUACUUAUUUUUCGGAUGAAAUUGUAGAGUAAGGUGAUGGUGUGUGGCUUUGUCAUAAUGACAGGACUUUGACAAACCUGGCUAAUUGAUUGAGUGACCGCACAAUUAAUCAAACAAUCGAAUAGCUAAUUGACAAAUAAAAAUGAAGUGAAAUAGAACCAGUGAAUGUAUUUAAUACUGUAAGCAUAAUGACCUGCCCAAGGUACAACAAAAUACAUUUAAAUUCAUUUUUUUUUCAUUGAUAUGUUUUCUUUGUUAUUUGACCGUGACCAGGUCACUGCUGCAUGACAAUAUGAAGGGAAAGUGAAUUUUAAUAGUCUCUGUUUCUUCACUGAAAUGAUUCUUCCACGAUGUAACUACUUUAACAUCAACAACACACUCAGUCUCAGACUAAGCCAUUCACUAGACAUGUACAAAUCCCACAAAGAAAAGAGGAGAAAGAAAUACUUUUCAACAUUCCCAUUUGUUAAUAUUUAUUUCUACCCAUGCUGUUUUAGGUAUGGAACAAACAUUAAUUCUGUUCAGUUGCCUCUAUGCGUGUAUGUGUGUUUUUAUGUAUGUGGGGAGAUGAAGUGUUGAGCAAGCUGGCUUUAUGCCUGGUAUUGAGAGGUUUAAGUAUGAGGUAUGCCUAUGUGUACAUAAAUGUGUACAUAUAUAUAUAUUUAUAUUUAGUUGUCUAAGAAUCCAUAUAUACACUCAUGUUUUUGUCAGUAGAGUGAGUAUAUAAGUCAACAUGUUCAGCAUUAUAGGGCCAUUACAGUGUGUUUCUAGAUAACUGUGCUAUUGAUUAUAUAACUGGUGUGAAACUGAUUAAGAUCAACUGAAAUGGGUGUAUAAUACUGUAUAUUUAUAUAUAUAUAUAUAUAUAUAUAUAUAUAUAUAUAUAUAUAUAUGUUGAAUUUUACCUCCCCUAUCACCACCACCACCACUUUAUUGACAACUGCUGUAGGUUUGUUUAUGUCUCCAUAACUUAAGUUUCAGCAACAGGAGACCAAUAGAACAAGUGCUGGGGUUCAAUUUGUUCAGAUAAAUCCUUGAAAGCAUUACUCCAGCAGGGCUGCAGCCCAACAACAAUCUAAACAAGCAAAAGAUUAAAAAUAAAAAGUUUUUCUUUUUUCUUUAAGAGGUAAAACUAAAGAUCAGUAUUGACACAUGACUCUAUCUCUUAAGUUCUGAGAUUCUUGCAUUGCUUUGCUUUCUCAAAUGUUUGCAAUACUAUUCAAUAUUACCGAGAUGAGGAAUUUUUAUCUUGUAUGCUGUUUAUAUUGGUCAAAUUGGUGUCCUUAUCUUGAUUGUUGCUUUCACUACAUUUCAGCUGUUGUCUGCUCCAGCCUUCUUCAGGUGUCUUUUGUUGAACUCAGUUGUAUCAGAAUUUUGAACCUAACGCUUUGCACUCUGCAUUUUGUGACGUUUUUUUCUUUCGGUGCCUUGCCUGGGACUGAACUCAGAAUCUCUACAUGACUGUAUAGCGUGGUAAAGACAUUGGUUAAUGCAGUGCAGACACCUAGAGGUUCUGAAUUCAAUUCUUGGCCAGGCACUAAGAUAAUUCACAAAAAUCAACUGAAGUGAAAAUGUCAUGAAACACAGAGAACAGAUUGAGAACAGUGUACCCCCAUGAAUCAAAUAAUGGGUUAGGUUCCAAAUUCCAAUACAACCCCUGAAAUGUAGUGAAAGCAACAAUCAAGAUAACGACACCAGUUCAACUAACAUAAACAGUAUACAUAAAUGUUUACUCUGUUUGAUGAAAUUCUGAUGAAAUGUGAAUGGAAAAACUUUUUAUGAUAACUUGUACAGUAUUUAAUAAGAAAAAAAAAAUCUGUGAGAAAUGUAAUAAUAGAAUUGUCAAGGAAUUUUUGCUUGUAGACUAAUUCCUAAAUCUUAAACCACCAGAUGAUUAGUAUUGGUGGUCGAUUGACAGAGUGAUAGUGUAUGUAUCAAUCUAUGUAUGUAUAUGUGUGUAGUGAGUUUGAAUGUGAAUGUGUGGUUCUCACUCCAGCAAAGGUGAUUGAGACCCAACUAUAAGGUCCAGAUCCUAACCCUUUAAUUUGUCAGAUCCGGUUAUUCUCUGUUGAGAAGUUGUAAACACCCAAAAAUUAUUUUACAACAAUCAUUUCUUCAUACACAAAUAAAACUGAAAUUUUUCUCCCCACCCCCACCCAAUUUCUUCGCUACCAUCUAAAAACAUUACAUUUUAUUGUUAAAUUCUGUUGUUUUAUCUUAAUUCAUUAAUUAGAAGGUAAGGUUGGGGUCAACUGUCAGUAACAAUCCACUUGUUAGGCCAAACUGAUGUUUCCAUUUGCAAUCAUAUCAAUUAAAAAUGAAUCAUCACAGUCACUUGACUUGUGCUAGAAAUAGCAACAACAUGCAAACCAGGUAUUUCUUAGAUGUUCAAUUUUUUUUUCUACACCUUGUAGAAAAACAGAACAUGGUGGGGAAAAAAACCCGCAAAACACUAAAAACUUUUAUGUAUAAAUUAUAUUUUGUUUUGUUAAACUCUUUAUCACAUUCAUGUCUUUCACACCCCAAGAUCUAAGAAUGAUUGUAACACACCAACUCAUUUUGAUUGCAUUCCAUGGUUCUAACCAUUAUUUAUGUAUUAUAUUUGAAUUUUUUUUUUUGUCAAUUUUGAUUUUUUGUAAAUUUUGUUUUUGAUUUUAAUGUUAUGUUUGCAUUUUUUUCUUUCAAGAUUUUAUUCUUUAUACAAAACACUGGAGUGGUGCUACAGAAUUUUCUGGGACCAAUUAACAAAUUUAUUUUUAUUGUAUAUUAUAGUAUAAUAAAAGGGCACUAGAUUAGCAAAACCGUUAGUGAUAUACUAAAUGCUUUGCAGUAUUUAGUUAUGCUCCUUCACAUUCCAAGUUGAAAUCCUACCAAGAUUGGUUUUACUCUUUGAUCCUUCUGGGGUCAAUAAAAUAAAGUACUAGUCAAGUACUGGGGUCAGUUUUAUCAAUUAACCCCUGCCCCCAAAAUUUUCAGGUCAUGUACCCACAUUAGAAACUUAUUAAUACUGUGAUGCUUGAUUACUCAACUUUUUUUUUUUCUUUUGCUUGCUCCUCAUGUUUUAUCUGUUAUUCUUUAACUCCCGUUCUUCUCUGCCAGUCAUUCCCAACUCUGUUAUAAACAUCAUCUUUGUAAAUUUGCGUCAUUCUAUUUCACUGUUUAGGUGUCACUGCUGAUAGAGGAUGUCACCAGAUGUCUCCAGUGACACUAAUUAGUUGGUACAACUAAUUCACCACCACCACCUCACCUGUUUCAACAAUGAUAUCAGUAAUUUGAAUGUGUAUCAUAAACUUUCACUAGUUCAAACAUAUAUCAUAAAAAUCAUUUCUCUCAUCA